RNAcentral lists this ribosomal RNA (253 nucleotides) under uncultured bacterium. RNAcentral describes it as "partial 16S ribosomal RNA". It matches the Rfam family "Bacterial small subunit ribosomal RNA", at positions 524 to 776 of the family's 1533-position model. The record is from RNAcentral.
UACAGAGGUCUCAAGCGUUGUUCGGAUUCAUUGGGCGUAAAGGGUGUGUAGGUGGCGCCGUAAGUCGGGUGUGAAAUUUCGGAGCUUAACUCCGAGACUGCAUUCGAUACUGCGGUGCUUGAGGACUGGAGAGGAGACUGGAAUUUACGGUGUAGCAGUGAAAUGCGUAGAUAUCGUAAGGAAGACCAGUGGCGAAGGCGGGUCUCUGGACAGUUCCUGACACUGAGACACGAAGGCCAGGGGAGCAAACGGG